Long non-coding RNA from Haliotis rubra (blacklip abalone), 384 nucleotides. RefSeq lists it as uncharacterized. Lineage: Eukaryota; Metazoa; Mollusca; Gastropoda; Lepetellida; Haliotidae. The record is from RefSeq and is a predicted model, not a curated record. The transcript has 3 exons.
UUAUGCUAUUUUUAAUAACCUUUGUUACACCCUAUAUACUUGACUUAACUCUCCGCUCAUUCAAACGUGUCGUGUAACGUUGAAACAAUGAGUUAAACUGAAAUCUGUCCGUGAUUUGAUAAGGAACCAACAAACAACAAAGAAAUGUGAUAUAAUUGGUUAAUUGUAUUCUAAAAUGAACUUAGUCUACAAAUCAGUACAAUUACAAUAGCACGACAAAUACAAUGGCAGUGAUUAUAGCGAUAAAGAAAGUGAUCAUCACAUUCACUCAUCUAUAAUAAAGGUCAAUGUUGCAAGGCCUAGGCUGUGUAUCCAGGGUGAUAGUGACCUUCACACAACUAACUUCUUUUAAUGGCAUUUAGAAGCUGGGAUGUAUAAGAUAGA